CCGCCGACGGUUCCAGUCAGCGGCUGGCAGGAGGCCUUGCCUGGGAGGACGGGAGAAGUCGUUCAGACCGAGUCAACCGAGCCGACUCGGCUUGCUGCCGCAUCCCGGAUCCCGCAUCAAAUUUAACAUAAAUUAUCUAUACAAACCCUGAGCCUCUCGUACUACUCAGUAGCCGUGAAAUGCAGCAACUGUUCAGAAGAUAUUGAUGAGGCACCUUGUUGACCUACUGCAGUCUCAUGCUACUGGAGAGAGUUGCAGUAUUAUCUAAGGAAGAGCCCGUAACUUAUUUCCACAUAAGGCCGAGAAAUCAAUGAAAAACUGCGCACAAAGACGGAAACAACCAAGGUGCACGAUGAGUAAAUAAACACUGACAAUAUAAGUUUAUACAUUCCAUAAGUUGUGCAAUCAAUUCAGAGUUGAGGUGAGUCAAGUUAUCUAUUGAGGUGAGUCAAGUUAUCUACGCUGCUUCAGGAGCCUGAUGAAGAAUAAUAAUAACUGACGUUGAUUCAAACCCAACCAUAAUGGAUGCCUCCUUUCAGCCCAAGCAUCAUUUGAUGUAAUACCAAACCCAAUUCUCACAAAGCAAGUGUCACUGCCAUUCAAAACUCUACCAUACCAGUUAAACCUCUGCAUUUAAUCAUUACACCCCAAGGAUCAAAGCACACAAACCACACCCCCAGGAGGGUCAUGUGAACACAUCCUCCUAACCUGAAAAAAAAUGCAAGUUUGGACCCCAGGGCAUAUAUAGGGACCUUGGAAUACACAUCAAAAUAUUCAGCACAGGUACACAAGCUGGUUAAGAUGGCAAAGUGCUACUUGCUCUAAUAGAUUAUAAGAGCAGGAAGGUUAUGGUACAACUAUGUGAAUCCUAGUUAAGCCACAGCCUGAAUGCUGUGUUCGUAUUGUUGGAGGGGUGCAGAAGAAAUUCAACAGGAAUCUGAAAGGCAGCAUUUCAGCUACAAAAAACAAAAGGAAGGUUUCCUUUGAAGCAGAGAUGACUGAAGGGCGACCUGAACCAGGAAUGCAAAAUUCAGAAGGAUAGCAAGAAACUCUUUCCCUUAAUAUAGACGUCCAUGACCAGAAGUCAUUAUCUGAAGGUGAGAGGUAGAAGUUUAGAUCUGAAUAUACUCCCCAACGGAGGGCAAGAGACAGACACACUGUCGUUUUAAAAAGCAUUUAAAUAAGCACUUAAAAGGACAGGAUUAUGAGUCAAACAUUUAAAAUGCCAUUUUCGUAGAUAGGAAUUUGACGGCUAGCAGAAAUAGUGAACCAAAGGGUAUUUUCUCUGCUGCAUGCCUACGAGUUUGUCAAGUUCUCAUUUCCGAGGUCCACCUGCUUCAUACCAACGAUUUGUGCGUGCACCC
Molecule: long non-coding RNA, 1364 nt
Organism: Mobula hypostoma (lesser devil ray)
Lineage: Eukaryota; Metazoa; Chordata; Chondrichthyes; Myliobatiformes; Myliobatidae
Exons: 3
Source: RefSeq, a predicted model, not a curated record